UACGGGGGGAGCAAGCGUUGUUCGGAUUUACUGGGCGUAAAGGGCGCGUAGGCGGCGCAACAAGUCACUUGUGAAAUCUCCGGGCUUAACCCGGAGCGGUCAAGUGAUACUGUCGUGCUAGAGUGCGGAAGGGGCUACUGGAAUUCUCGGUGUAGCGGUGAAAUGCGUAGAUAUCGGGAGGAACACCGGUGGCGAAGGCGGUUCUCUGGGCCUUACCUGACGCUGAGGAGCGAAAGCGUGGGGAGCGAACAGG
Molecule: ribosomal RNA, 253 nt
Filed under: uncultured bacterium
Lineage: Bacteria
Description: partial 16S ribosomal RNA
Rfam family: Bacterial small subunit ribosomal RNA
Source: RNAcentral